RNAcentral lists this non-coding RNA (30 nucleotides) under Mus musculus (house mouse). The record is from RNAcentral. Lineage: Eukaryota; Metazoa; Chordata; Mammalia; Rodentia; Muridae.
UGAGCCCAAGAUUCUUUAUGGGUGUCUGUG